GCGGUAAUGGCCCAGCGCUACGCGAGACGCAGUGAAGAGAAGACAGGCCAGAAGGCGCCAGCCUCCUGACCUGGCGGCGCGGUUUACGCCGCGCUGACUUUCGCGAUUAGCGCCUGUUUUUCCGCG
RNAcentral lists this transfer RNA (126 nucleotides) under Cronobacter malonaticus. RNAcentral describes it as "tRNA-Arg". Lineage: Bacteria; Pseudomonadati; Pseudomonadota; Gammaproteobacteria; Enterobacterales; Enterobacteriaceae. The record is from RNAcentral.